UAUGUGUAUUCCUGAUUUUCGUACAAUUUUAUGAAAAUUCGAAAAAUCUCUCCAAUUUGAAAUUAAAAUCACCGUGCGAAGUAGUGUGUCAGCUGGCCCUGGUGUGGAGAAUAUGAUUUCAAUCGUGCUUCCUAAUUCCUACCCUGUCGUCGUUCUGGCAUGUUUACAUUUCGAACUGUCAAACCCGCAUCGCCUCACCUCCGCCGGCUGAUUGGAAAGAAGCGAAAGAAUAUCGUCCACUAUUUCGAUUUUGUUGGAACCGUGGCCACGGGACCGACGGGAACAGAACGACGCUCGUGCUCGGUUCGGAAUGAGCGAGUUGAAUCAUUAAUAUGAAAGCGAUUAAAACAAGCAACACCAGGAGCGUUACCCAGUGCGAUGCUGCUAGACUUGGACAAGCUGAAGCUGAGGGGUUGCAUUGUUUUCCGAAGGUUACAAUCAGGAUCAGAACUGUUUUGGAGGUAAUAGGAUGUUCCAGAAGCCUUCGAAAACCGAUAUAGGGGUCCUCCGUCCAAUGGAAUGUGACCGAAUCGGUUCAGCAAUCCAGAACGGAACAAAUACGGAGGACCUGGUGGAUACCGAAGUGAAAACAGUUGGAACAAGAGCACAGGCGGCUACCAGGCGAAUCUUUCGCAUUAGCCACAGAACUUCACAGCAGCAGUUGUACGAAUCUCACCAGCAGAUGCGAUUCCAUUCGAAGACCAUGUACCAGAAUCCAAACCAGUA
Molecule: long non-coding RNA, 726 nt
Organism: Aedes albopictus (Asian tiger mosquito)
Lineage: Eukaryota; Metazoa; Arthropoda; Insecta; Diptera; Culicidae
Exons: 2
Source: RefSeq, a predicted model, not a curated record